UAGGGAAUCUUCCACAAUGGACGCAAGUCUGAUGGAGCAACGCCGCGUGAGUGAAGAAGGCUUUCGGGUCGUAAAACUCUGUUAUUGAAGAAGAACGUGUGUGACAGUAACUGGCCAUGCAGUGACGGUAUUCAAUCAGAAAGUCACGGCUAACUACGUGCCAGCAGCCGCGGUAAUACGUAGGUGGCAAGCGUUGUCCGGAUUUAUUGGGCGUAAAGCGAGUGCAGGCGGUCUUUUAAGUCUGAUGUGAAAGCCUUCGGCUUAACCGAAGAAGGGCAUCG
RNAcentral lists this ribosomal RNA (281 nucleotides) under uncultured bacterium. RNAcentral's name for it is "partial 16S ribosomal RNA". It matches the Rfam family "Bacterial small subunit ribosomal RNA", at positions 355 to 628 of the family's 1533-position model. The record is from RNAcentral.